Unclassified non-coding RNA from Stylophora pistillata, 3323 nucleotides. The record is from RefSeq and is a predicted model, not a curated record. Lineage: Eukaryota; Metazoa; Cnidaria; Anthozoa; Scleractinia; Pocilloporidae.
CAAGACGUAUGGUACAAAUAUUUCGUGAUUUUUGUAGGUAUACAUUAUUAUUCCCCAUGUUAGAGGAUUUAAAGCGUCGGUACCGAGUUGUCCUCCUCAAAAUAUCUCUAGCUCUGACCGAAGAGGAGAGAAAACAACUUUUAUUUUACGGGAAAGACUAUUUUCCGAAAAGCUUUGCGAGUCCUCUCCCCGCGGUCGUUGAAAUAUUUGACCGCUUGGAAGACGCAGAAGCUAUUUCAUUGUGGAAACUCGACAUCCUGACGGAGUUUGCCGUCGCAAUCAACAGGCCAGAUCUUGUCAAUGAGCUGGCUGGAUUUGAAUUGACAAGAGAACUGGUGAUGCGCGCCUUAAAAUGGCAUGGUUCCCAGCCGUCUAUGAACUCGUCGACUGAAAGUGUGGGACUUCAUCUGGCGGAAAUGGUGGAUCAUGUCCAAGAUCGAGUUGAUUUUCCAACCCAAGGACUCAUCAAGUUCCUCCUUACAUCCCAAACAAAAGCCUCUGAUGUUUUGGACGUGGUCUGUCGGGAAGCGUUGCCUGAUGACGAUGUGACCAAGCCGAAUAGCUUAGCCUUGCUCGUCGCCAUUGCAAGCGAGAUUGUCUUGCUUGUGUUUGAUGAAAACCAACAAGAGAAUCAUCGAAAGAAGUAUGCAGUGGCCGUUGCCAUCGAGCUAGCUGACCAUUUAUUGACUAAGGUGGCCAACUUUGGCAGCUGGGAGGAUGUCUGCCAUUUUGUCGGCAAACAAUGUGGUUGUCAUUUCAAUGAGGUUCUUCUGGAACCAACCCCUGAAGGUCAAGAUGAACUCCAAGAAAAUGCUAUGGAGAUAGAAUGAAGGGAACAAAUUCUUCCCAAUGGAUGAAGGAAUGACUGGUUAAGAGUUUCUAAACCUAGAUACUCUUAUCAAGGAACUAGCAGUAAUGACUCAUUACUGCGCUUCCCCUCUUAAGGACUGCCACCUUGCUGUGGUGGAGGGGCUUGUGUGUUUCUAUGAUCCUGAGAACUAAGCCGGGGGAGGCAUGUGAGCCUCUGGUAGGUACAACCAAGCCGGAAAGAUCAACGGGGAGAAACCAGACCAAAAGGCAGUCAACAUUCUAAUUAAACACUCCAUCAUUUUGAACGCGUUAUGCUCAGGAAGCAUAUCUUCCAGAAGAUGCUUCAUGUGGUCUUUGUGAAGGCGACAAUGCAACAGUAAGAUGCCAAGACUGUGGGCAUAGACAGUUUUUUUGUAGACCAUGUGCCAUUGCUCUACACCAAGACCGAAAUAUCUUUCAUUCAUUAGAAGUCCUUGAGAAUGGUAUGUUUAUUCCGCUAUUCCUGGACAAGAAGCCUUUACGUGUCCAUGGACACUGCUGUACAACCACAGAAGAUAUUAAAGAGAUCAUAUGCUUUGAUCAUCGUUGUAUUCAACAUUUGAAACAUGUUGCAUUUUGUCAGUGUGAAAAGCCAGCUAUCCCAUUGCUUCACUUGCAACUCUGGCCAGGGACUUUUCUUUAAGCUUCCAUCGUGAAUACAGGUAUUUCAAGUAUCAAACUACCUAUCUUGUAAAACAGUUCCCCCAGCUUUAUAAUGGUGCUACUUGUCCAUUAAGCCCAAAGGAAGAAGGAGUGCUGAUUCAAUGCAUGGAUGCAUGCUUUGGACUCAGCAGGAAAAAGGCACAGGGAAAGCAAUUAUCAGAAGCAAACCAUAACAAUGUCCUCUAUGCUGAUCAAGAUGAUAUGGACGAUUUUGUGGAACAGUGCCAUGGUGACUGCCAGAGUAGUGAGCCGGAAUGCAGCAGAUUUCGUGCAGGAGAAGUUUUACCUGCCUUGCACUCCAAAGGAAAAAAACCAACUUUUUGAUGAAAAGGGUGUGUUUUGGGUCUGUUUGCCAUCAUGACUGCCCUUUAUCUUUUCACAGUAUUAAGUAUGGUGAAAGAAUUUCUUACUCAGUGUAGGAGUUGAAAAAGAUAUGCCAGCUAGUGAACACAAAACCCCUUCUCAAGGUGGUUGUAAUGUACGAUAUUGCUUGUAUUCUGCCAACACAUCUGAAGUAUUCUCCUAGAGGACAAAAGGAGUGGGGCUUACUGAUGGAGAAGGGACAGAGGGGCUGUGGUCCUUUUUAAGGGAUUUCUCGAGAAUAACUAAAGAAAUGGGCCCUGAAAAGAGAAAUGACACGCUGACUGACGGUCUUAUUCAUUAUGGCUAUCUUCUUAGAAAGAAAUAUGGUCCUGCUUUGAAAACCAAGCUUCUCAGAGCAAUGGAUUUACACCAAAUCACUUCUGACGACCUUGAUGAAGCUAUGAAAUCACUUCCAUUCAAGUGUGAACUAUCAUUGAGGAGUGGAUUGCUGUAGAGAAUGAACAGGAUGACUCAAAAGAUUUAGAGCUUCUCUGGGAUGAAAAAUAUGUAGAUCUCCUGACUCAAAAGUUGUCACUGAGGAAUGCAGAAAAGCAAGCCACUUCGAUAGAAGAUAAUGCAUCUCUAAAAAAGAAAAUCGAAAGGAGGAAUUUUGCAGUGAUAUAGAGGAAAGAGCCCAGCGGAUUUGCGGACAGGAUGUCAACAUCCUCCCUCUUUCAGGCUUCAGGGAGCAAAUAGCCAACACCAUUCAAGUGCUGGAGAACAGCAUCUUUUUCUAAUUGAUGUAGUCAACUCUUGACUGUGUUUAGAGAAGAAAGACUUUUUUUUAGUAACCUGAUAGAUCAUUACACACGAAAAAGUCUCUAAAGUAGGUAUCGUUAGCUCUCUAUUUUCUGAGAUUCUGUUUCAAAUCUCAGUGAUUAACGUUCUUAUAGAAAAGUAGGCAUCUGGCAACCUUAGCUCGAGUAUACAAUUGGAGGAUGAAAACCAACUGACAUUGAUAGUCUGGAAGGUGCUAGGUACGAUUGCAGUGUUUUCUUGUGUAAUGGUCUCUUCUUUUUGAAAAAAACAAACAAACAAAAAAAUUCAAGGAAAAAAAGGAUGGUAAACGAAAUAAGAUACAAAAAAAAGUGAACAUUUUCAAAAAGGAAAACAAAUAUAAAAAAUAGGUCACAAAAUUCAAGUAAAAAAAGUGACCGUACUCAGGUACAGUACAUCAGAGAUGCAAAAACGUUUGUUGCUAAAGGAAACUCCAAUUUGCUACACUGUAUAAGUAAAAGAGAAAAUUAUCUCUUGAUAAUGAAGAUUUCUGUAUUCCAAAGUUCAGCUAUGAAGCGAAAAGCAAAGGAAACUUAAAAAAUGCUGAAUACAAAGUUACAGAAAGCACAUAAAGCAUCAGAGAAAAAAGUUGUGGCGGUAAAAAAAAACAGUCUUGUCAGAGAAACAAAAAAGUGUAAAUCCAAUAAAGUUUUACAUUUUCAUUCCUUAAA